Molecule: ribosomal RNA, 486 nt
Filed under: Veillonella parvula
Lineage: Bacteria; Bacillati; Bacillota; Negativicutes; Veillonellales; Veillonellaceae
Description: bacterial SSU rRNA
Rfam family: Bacterial small subunit ribosomal RNA
Source: RNAcentral
GACGAACGCUGGCGGCGUGCUUAACACAUGCAAAUCGAACGAAGAGCGAUGGAAGCUUGCUUCUAUCAAUCUUAGUGGCGAACGGGUGAGUAACGCGUAAUCAACCUGCCCUUCAGAGGGGGACAACAGUUGGAAACGACUGCUAAUACCGCAUACGAUCUAAUCUCGGCAUCGAGGAUAGAUGAAAGGUGGCCUCUACAUGUAAGCUAUCACUGAAGGAGGGGAUUGCGUCUGAUUAGCUAGUUGGAGGGGUAACGGCCCACCAAGGCGAUGAUCAGUAGCCGGUCUGAGAGGAUGAACGGCCACAUUGGGACUGAGACACGGCCCAGACUCCUACGGGAGGCAGCAGUGGGGAAUCUUCCGCAAUGGACGAAAGUCUGACGGAGCAACGCCGCGUGAGUGAUGACGGCCUUCGGGUUGUAAAGCUCUGUUAAUCGGGACGAAAGGCCUUCUUGCGAACAGUUAGAAGGAUUGACGGACCGAAUA